ACUCCUACGGGAGGCAGCAGUGGGGAAUAUUGCACAAUGGGCGCAAGCCUGAUGCAGCCAUGCCGCGUGUAUGAAGAAGGCCUUCGGGUUGUAAAGUACUUUCAGCGAGGAGGAAGGCAUUAAGGUUAAUAACCUUGGUGAUUGACGUUACUCGCAGAAGAAGCACCGGCUAACUCCGUGCCAGCAGCCGCGGUAAU
This 197-nucleotide ribosomal RNA is filed under the name uncultured bacterium. RNAcentral's name for it is "partial 16S ribosomal RNA". It matches the Rfam family "Bacterial small subunit ribosomal RNA", at positions 335 to 524 of the family's 1533-position model. The record is from RNAcentral.